CAGCAGCCGCGGUAAUACGAGGGGGGCAAGCGUUGUUCGGAAUUAUUGGGCGUAAAGGGUGCGUAGGCGGUUUGACAAGUCUUAUGUGAAAUCUCUGGGCUCAACCCAGAGUCUGCAUGGGAAACUGUCGGGCUUGAGUAUGGGAGAGGUGAGUGGAAUUUCCGGUGUAGCGGUGAAAUGCGUAGAUAUCGGAAGGAACACCUGUGGCGAAAGCGGCUCACUGGACCAUAACUGACGCUGAGGCACGAAAGCUAGGGGAGCAAACAGGAUUAGAUACCCCAGUAGUCCCUGUCUCUUAUAC
This 301-nucleotide ribosomal RNA is filed under the name uncultured bacterium. Its description in RNAcentral is "partial 16S ribosomal RNA". It matches the Rfam family "Bacterial small subunit ribosomal RNA", at positions 509 to 807 of the family's 1533-position model. The record is from RNAcentral.